UCAAAAAAAAAAAAAAAAAAAAGGUAGGUGGCUAUGGCACCAAAGAACAAGACGAGAGCUCUGUAGAUAGAAAACCCAAACACAUACAUCCGGAGUUGCAUGUCAGUUGAAACUACAACCCAGACACUAACUAUUGUUACUUUAACAGUCCAUCACAAUUUUUUUUUUAUACCAAAGUACUAAUUCUGUUAAAUGAAAGUAAAAACGUUUUUUUUGGGACUAACCAACAAUUACUUACAAAGUGUUUGGGACUUGUAUGGUUACAUACAAUGUGUUUGUUAGAAACACAAGAAUGGUGAAAACUACUUCCCUCAACAGGCAAACACUAACUUAACCCAUUUUCAAAGCCAUUGUCACCUGACCAACAGAACAAUUUUCCAGCCUUGAGUCAGCUCAUACCAGGUACUGAUGAGAGCUGAACAAAACGAGAGAGCUGAACAAAACGAGAGAUCUGGUCCAAGUCUCAAUGUUGGGCUGGCUAGAGGCACUCCACCUCACUUAAACUACAAUGCUCCAUUGUACUAGUUCUCAGCUCUUCAUUUUCAAGUCCAUUUACUAACUGAAGCCUGAUGUGAACAAAAGCUGAUGAUAGCAUCUGAUGACAGACCACAAUACUAACAGACAAGAAUAAAAAAUAAUUGAUUAUAAAUUUUAUAAGCCCCCCCCCC
Biomphalaria pfeifferi is the source of this 668-nucleotide non-coding RNA. The record is from the annotation of a GenBank genome assembly. NCBI's taxonomy places the organism in Eukaryota, Metazoa, Mollusca, Gastropoda, Planorbidae.